RNAcentral lists this long non-coding RNA (1057 nucleotides) under Ananas comosus (pineapple). RNAcentral's name for it is "long non-coding RNA (ACOM_LNC025710)". The record is from RNAcentral. Lineage: Eukaryota; Viridiplantae; Streptophyta; Magnoliopsida; Poales; Bromeliaceae.
UCCGUUGCUUAUCGGAUCGGGACGGAUUCGGAGCGAGUUAAUUUUAAUUCUAUUUUUGACCUCCACUUACCAUUCUAUUCGGGGGAGGAUAAAAAUAGGAGAAGAUUUUGGCGGAUCGGGAGGAUGAAAGGUCGAAAUGGAUCUUCUUUCUCCCACUCUAUUUAUUUAGCGAAUCGGAAUGGAUUCAAAAUAAAUUAUGUUUUUCUAUAUUUUUUGUUCCACUUAUUGCCAUCUUACGCCUUUCAACAUAUAGCAUGUUGCGCAGUUGCGCUUAACUCUUCGGAUAAAAAAAUAUAUAUAUAUGCACUUAAUUCUUCUAAAAAUUUACACAAUUAGUACUUAACCUCUUAGAUUAAAAAAAAAAAAACACAAACUAAACUUUCUUAGGAGGAAAAAAAAGGUGACAAAAUGGAAAUGUAUUUGGUUGUUUUACUAAUUUUUUCAAUAUUAUAAACAACAAAAUUUUAGAUCAGACAUAAUAAUCCUACCUUAGUCUCAGAUAGUACAAAAAAAAAUUCUAUUAAAAUUUUAUAAUAACUUGAAUAUUUUCGCAAUUCUAAAUUUGCUAAAGUCUCAUAAUGACUAUUAAAAUUAUUAAUUUUGCGGGCUAUAGAUCAUUAAGGCUUAGUUUGGUAUUGAAGCACAUCUAAUGUUGUUAGAUAAAAUGAAAUUGGGGUAAAAGCGUAGAGGAAUAUAUUUCUGUAUUCUCCGGUGGGACUGUAGAAAAUAUAUCGUAACUAGGGAUGCAAACGGGGUGGAUCUGGGGGCGGGAGACUCGCCCGGCUUCCCGCCCCGACUAGCAAAAUCCCGCCCCGCCUCCUGCCCCAAAUCCGUGACGGGUUAAAAAAUACAUCAUAUAAUCCGCCUCGCCUCGUAAUCCGCCUCCCGCCGGCGCCCCGAAUUCGUCCCGCCAACUAAUAUUUUUUAUAAAAUUAUAAUAUUAUUAAUAUUUUGUAAAAUAUAAAUUAAUAAUUUUUAAUAAUAUUAUAUAUAUAAUUUAACAAUAUUAAUUAUAAAAAAAUAUAUUAACCACAAUUCAAAACAAAAUUCAAAAGUU